UUUCCGUAGGUGAACCUGCGGAAGGAUCAUUACUGAGUUAGGGUCUUUAUGGCCCGACCUCCAACCCUUUGUUUAAUCUACCAUGUUGCUUUGGCAGGCCCGCUUAGAAAUGGGCCGCCGGAGACCUUUGAGUCUCUGGUCAGUGCCUGCCAGUAGCCUUACUAAAUUCAUUUAUAACCGUGUCUGAAUAUACAAAGAAAAAUUAAAAUAAAACUUUCAACAACGGAUCUCUUGGUUCUG
Molecule: unclassified non-coding RNA, 240 nt
Filed under: plant metagenome
Description: partial contains small subunit ribosomal RNA, internal transcribed spacer 1, and 5.8S ribosomal RNA
Source: RNAcentral